UGGAUUUGGAAAAAAACAUGUUUAUUAAAGUGACAGAAUUUUAAUAGAAAUAGGCACUUUUACAAGUGAAUGACGAAACACCUCCCAGAUGUUACUAAUACAGAUGGGAAGUUUUAUUCCUCUUCUGUUAGCUUGACAAAAUGCCUUCUCCUUUUCUCAAUGAGCAGUACUACAGCUCAUUGAGAAGCAUUGGAAAGCCUCGAUUAGAUGUGACUGCAUGUGUGGCUCUGAUUGUAAUAUUUCCCCGCACAGAUAGAAAUUCUGUGUCUGGGAAAGAAGGGAUGGCUUGCAAAGGCUACAGACAUUAAACAGACAUCAAACCUGCAGCUAUGCAAAAAUGCAUGCAUAUUUUUUUUGUGGCGGUAUAUUUAUUAAAUAUCUAGGUCUCCUCCUCCUGUGCAAAACUCCAUUUGUGUCUCCCCUCCUCUCAUAACCCCCAUCUGUGUCUGUCCUUUUUUUCCAGUGCCUCUCCUCCUGUUAACCCGCCAUGCGUGCCUCUCCUCCUAUGCAAUUUCCAAACCUGAAUCUGUGUAUCUCCUUCUGUCCAAUUUCCAUUGUCUCUCUAUCUGUCAAAAAUACAUAAUCUGUGUCUCUUCACCUUUCCAAACCACCAAUCUGUGUCUCUCCUCCUGUUCAAACCCCAUCUUGUUUCUAAUUAUUUCCCAGUGUCUUUCCACCUACCCCAUUUCCAAACUUCCAUCUGUGCCUCUCCUGUGCAAUUUCCAAAUCCCCAUUCUGUAUCCAUUCUCCUAUACAAACCUCCAAUCCAUGUCUCACUAUCUUUCCUUACCCAUAACCUGUGUCUCUCCUCCUGUCCAAACCCCCAUCUGUGUUUCUCCUACUGUCCAAACCCCCAUUGGGGUCUCUUCUCCUACCCAAACCCCUAUCAGUGUCUCUCCUUAUCUCACAGUGUCCUUCCUCCUGUCCAAUUUCCAACCCUUCAUCUGUGUCUCUCCUCCUGUUAACCCCUAUAUGUGUCUUUCCAUGUCUUUCAGUGUGUCUCCUUGCAGCCUAGCUCCCACUUGUCUCCUGCCAUAAGUGAUAGAUAGGAGCAGAUAUCUUAUUUUUGCUGUGCUCUGUGAUGCCCCCUGCAUAUUCAGCCAGUACAGAGAGGUAAAGAGAUUAUGUAACUUUCUAUUCCUGCCUUUUUCCAUACACAGUGACCCUUUGGCAGGCACCUAUAUUGCAGAUAAUCUCAGUCUAUACUGCGAAAAAAUACAAAUACUAGCACUGGCCAGGCAGCCUUAAAUACCAGCUGUGCUGGUAAAAUACUGUUUAGGUGGCAACCUUAACCAUUCUAGCAUAGUCCAAUCCCUCUACCUCCAUUAGAUCGCUGUUUUCAGAAUGAGGGAGUUGGGCCAUGCACAGAUCAGGCUUCUCAGACUGAAUGCAGUGAUCCAAGAGACCUAGAGCAUCUGUUUCCAUCAACAAGUAGCAGGCAAUGGGCAGGAGGAAAUUAUGGGGGCUUUUAGCAGGCUUUGCAAGCAACCCCAAGAGGCAUGUGUCUGUAGGCAGAUGCCUACUCUUACUGAAAGAGAGAUAUGGCCCUGAUACUUCUAUACUUUAAUAGUAAUAUAAGUAUUACUUAUUACGAGAAUGGUUUCUAUCACAGAGAUUGAUUUUAUGAAAUAAGAACUUGAAAAAAAA
Molecule: long non-coding RNA, 1647 nt
Filed under: Pelobates cultripes (western spadefoot toad)
Lineage: Eukaryota; Metazoa; Chordata; Amphibia; Anura; Pelobatidae
Source: RNAcentral